RNAcentral lists this ribosomal RNA (481 nucleotides) under uncultured bacterium. RNAcentral's name for it is "partial 16S ribosomal RNA". It matches the Rfam family "Bacterial small subunit ribosomal RNA", at positions 28 to 507 of the family's 1533-position model. The record is from RNAcentral.
GACGAACGUUGGCGGCGUGCUUAAUACAUGCAAGUCAACUGAAGCAGUGGUAGCAAUAUCGCUGUGGAGGUGGCGCACGCGUGAGUAACACGUAGGUAAUCUGCCUUCAGGUCUGGCAUAACUCCGGGAAACCGGGGCUAAUAGCAGAUGAUGCAGCGGCUCGACAUCGAGACAGUUGUUAAAGCUAUGGCGCCUGAAGAUGAGCCUGCGUCUGAUUAGCUAGUUGGCGGGGUAACGGCCCACCAAGGCAACGAUCAGUAGCUGGUCUGAGAGGAUGAUCAGCCACACUGGAACUGAGACACGGUCCAGACUCCUACGGGAGGCAGCAGUAAGGAAGAUUGCUCAAUGGGAGAAAUCCUGAAGCAGCAACGCCGCGUGAGGGACGAAGGGCUUUUGCUUGUAAACCUCUGUAGUGAGAGAAAAAAAUCCCAAUCUUUGGGACAUGAUGGUAUCUCAAAAGUAAGCCCCGGCUAACUACGUG